RNAcentral lists this ribosomal RNA (1096 nucleotides) under uncultured bacterium. RNAcentral describes it as "bacterial SSU rRNA". It matches the Rfam family "Bacterial small subunit ribosomal RNA", at positions 448 to 1533 of the family's 1533-position model. The record is from RNAcentral.
AACGGGUGUUAGAGUAACUGUUGACAUCGUGACGGUAUCCAACCAGAAAGCCACGGCUAACUACGUGCCAGCAGCCGCGGUAAUACGUAGGUGGCAAGCGUUGUCCGGAUUUAUUGGGCGUAAAGCGAGCGCAGGCGGUUUUUUAGGUCUGAUGUGAAAGCCUUCGGCUUAACCGGAGAAGUGCAUCGGAAACCGGGAGACUUGAGUGCAGAAGAGGACAGUGGAACUCCAUGUGUAGCGGUGAAAUGCGUAGAUAUAUGGAAGAACACCAGUGGCGAAGGCGGCUGUCUGGUCUGCAACUGACGCUGAGGCUCGAAAGCAUGGGUAGCGAACAGGAUUAGAUACCCUGGUAGUCCAUGCCGUAAACGAUGAGUGCUAAGUGUUGGAGGGUCUCCGCCCUUCAGUGCUGCAGCUAACGCAUUAAGCACUCCGCCUGGGUAGUACGACCGCAAGGUUGAAACUCAAAGGAAUUGACGGGGGCCCGCACAAGCGGUGGAGCAUGUGGUUUAAUUCGAUGCUACGCGAAGAACCUUACCAGGUCUUGACAUCUUCUGCUAACCUAAGAGGUUAGGCGUUCCCUUCGGGGACGGAAUGACAGGUGGUGCAUGGUUGUCGUCAGCUCGUGUCGUGAGAUGUUGGGUUAAGUCCCGCAACGAGCGCAACCCUUAUUGUCAGUUGCCAGCAUUUAGUUGGGCACUCUGGCGAGACUGCCGGUGACAAACCGGAGGAAGGUGGGGAUGACGUCAAAUCAUCAUGCCCCUUAUGACCUGGGCUACACACGUGCUACAAUGGACGGUACAACGAGUCGCGAAACCGCGAGGUCAAGCUAAUCUCUGAAAGCCGUUCUCAGUUCGGAUUGCAGGCUGCAACUCGCCUGCAUGAAGUUGGAAUCGCUAGUAAUCGUGGAUCAGCAUGCCACGGUGAAUACGUUCCCGGGCCUUGUACACACCGCCCGUCACACCAUGAGAGUUUGUAACACCCAAAGCCGGUGAGGUAACCUUCGGGGGCCAGCCGUCUAAGGUGGGACAGAUGAUUAGGGUGAAGUCGUAACAAGGUAGCCGUAGGAGAACCUGCGGCUGGAUCACCUCCUUUCUAA